CCUACGGGUGGCAGCAGUGGGGAAUAUUGCACAAUGGGGGAAACCCUGAUGCAGCGACGCCGCGUGAGUGAAGAAGUAAUUCGUUAUGUAAAGCCCUAUCAGCAGGGAAGAAAAUGACGGUAUCUGAGUAAGAAGCACCGGCUAACUACGUGCCAGCAGCCGCGGUAAUACGUAGGGGGCAAGCGUUAUCCGGAUUUACUGGGUGUAAAGGGAGCGUAGACGGGAGUGCAAGUCUGGAGUGAAAGGCGGGGGCUCAACCACCGGACUGCUCUUGAAACUGUACGGCUGGAGUGCGGGAGAGGUAAGUGGAAUUCCUGGUGUAGCGGUGAAAUGCGUAGAGAUUAGGAGGAACACCAGUGGCGAAGGCGGCUUACUGGAAUGUAACUGACGUUGAGGCGCGAAAGCGUGGGGAGCAAACAGGAUUAGAUACCCGGGUAGUC
Molecule: ribosomal RNA, 440 nt
Filed under: uncultured bacterium
Lineage: Bacteria
Description: partial 16S ribosomal RNA
Rfam family: Bacterial small subunit ribosomal RNA
Source: RNAcentral